UACAGAGGUCCCAAGCGUUGUUCGGAUUCACUGGGCGUAAAGGGUGCGUAGGUGGCUACUUUAAGUUUGAUGUGAAAGCUCCGGGCUCAACCCGGAAAUGGCAUUGAAGACUAUUGAGCUAGAGGUUUGGAGGGGGGACUGGAAUGCUUGGUGUAGCAGUGAAAUGCGUAGAUAUCAAGCGGAACAUCAGUGGCGAAGGCGAGUCCCUGGACAACUCCUGACACUGAGGCACGAAAGCUAGGGGAGCAAACAGG
RNAcentral lists this ribosomal RNA (254 nucleotides) under uncultured bacterium. Its description in RNAcentral is "partial 16S ribosomal RNA". It matches the Rfam family "Bacterial small subunit ribosomal RNA", at positions 524 to 776 of the family's 1533-position model. The record is from RNAcentral.